This 301-nucleotide ribosomal RNA is filed under the name uncultured bacterium. RNAcentral's name for it is "partial 16S ribosomal RNA". It matches the Rfam family "Bacterial small subunit ribosomal RNA", at positions 509 to 807 of the family's 1533-position model. The record is from RNAcentral.
CAGCCGCCGCGGUAAUGCGUAGGUGGCAAGCGUUGUCCGGAAUUAUUGGGCGUAAAGGGCUCGCAGGCGGUUUCUUAAGUCUGAUGUGAAAGCCCCCGGCUCAACCGGGGAGGGUCAUUGGAAACUGGGAAACUUGAGUGCAGAAGAGGAGAGUGGAAUUCCACGUGUAGCGGUGAAAUGCGUAGAGAUGUGGAGGAACACCAGUGGCGAAGGCGACUCUCUGGUCUGUAACUGACGCUGAGGAGCGAAAGCGUGGGGAGCGAACAGGAUUAGAUACCCGUGUAGUCCCUGUCUCUUAUAC